Molecule: ribosomal RNA, 268 nt
Filed under: uncultured prokaryote
Description: partial 16S ribosomal RNA
Rfam family: Bacterial small subunit ribosomal RNA
Source: RNAcentral
GACGUAGGGGCGAGCGUUGUCCGGAAUUACUGGGCGUAAAGAGCGCGCAGGUGGUUGAUUAAGUCUGAUGUGAAAGCCCACGGCUUAACCGUGGAGGGUCAUUGGAAACUGGUCGACUUGAGUGCAGAAGAGGGAAGUGGAAUUCCAUGUGUAGCGGUGAAAUGCGUAGAGAUAUGGAGGAACACCAGUGGCGAAGGCGGCUUCCUGGUCUGUAACUGACACUGAGGCGCGAAAGCGUGGGGAGCAAACAGGAUUAGAUACCCGGGUA